Homo sapiens (human) is the source of this 401-nucleotide long non-coding RNA. RefSeq lists it as uncharacterized. NCBI's taxonomy places the organism in Eukaryota, Metazoa, Chordata, Mammalia, Primates, Hominidae. The transcript has 3 exons. The record is from RefSeq and is a predicted model, not a curated record.
AGAAACAAAUGGGAGUGGAAUGAAUUGAUGCUGGGUGGGAUGUGGCCUCCACACUUAACUCUUGUUUUCCUGAAUUACAUGUUUCUCUUCGGGCCUAGGGUUUCCUGCAUCUGGCUCAAUGACUUCCACACUAAGCAUUUCCCAGUUCAUGGAGAACGACACUCAUUGGAAUCCACUACGAGGCUUUUGGGUCCUCUGACAGGAAUCAUCGAAGAUUGCCUGAUGCCAGCACAAGGCAGCUCAUUGUCUCAGGAAUCUACAGUGGCUCUUGAUGGUACUGCUGGACACCCUUUUCAGGAUUGCUAUCACCACAGACGGCCUUUGAGACACUGACUCAACAUCAUCUGCAACUGUGAGAAGCCAAUCAGAGGUGUGAGAACACAGCUCCACCUUGGUCUUGC